CACGUAGGGGGCGAGCGUUGUCCGGAUUUAUUGGGCGUAAAGAGCUCGUAGGCGGCUCAGUAAGUCAGGUGUGAAAACUCCAGGCUCAACCUGGAGACGCCACCUGAUACUGCUGUGGCUAGAGUCCGGUAGGGGAGCCUGGAAUUCCUGGUGUAGCGGUGAAAUGCGCAGAUAUCAGGAGGAACACCAGUGGCGAAGGCGGUGCUCUGGGCCGGAACUGACGCUGAGGAGCGAAAGCGUGGGGAGCAAACAGG
Molecule: ribosomal RNA, 254 nt
Filed under: uncultured bacterium
Lineage: Bacteria
Description: partial 16S ribosomal RNA
Rfam family: Bacterial small subunit ribosomal RNA
Source: RNAcentral